AGGUGAAGAAGUAAACUGAUCCAAAUAAACAAUGGGACAAUGAAUGUUAUAAAUACCAAGAAGAAGACUGCACUUUUAAACAGUUGAAGUAUGAUAUGAUGAAUAAAUACCCUAAAUGCAGCCUUAUGGAGCUUUGGCUAGACCAUGAACAGUAGACAUCAAAAAGAUGCUCAUCUAAAGGGGCGCAAGUGUUCGAAGCAUUGAUAAAAAAAAACUGAACCAUUUGAUGGAUCAUACAGAAUGUACAAUCAGAUUUCCAGAAUCAGAGAAAUAGAAGUAUCAAAUGUUAGGGAGAUAGGAAAAUAUGCAUCUUGCAUGAAGAACCUGCCUUAGAUUAAUUUGCAAAAUACAUUGAAAUCUCACAAUUGCUAAUGGAAGUUAAGAAUGGAGUACUCUUCUGGAAAAUAUGUGUCCAGACAAUACUGUAACAACAUUGUUUCAUUUUUAUCAAUUUUCUGAGCAUAAUUCUACAUAAUAAUUAUACAUAAAAAUUGUAACAUGGUUACAUGAAUAAUACAAAACGUGUAAUCAUAGAUCUAUUUCCAGACAAAAAUUGGGAGAAUCAGAGAAGAAAUAUCAAGAAUUAGGGGAAAAGAAAUAUAUGUCAUGCAUGAGGAACCUGCUUUAUAUAAAUUUACAAAAUACUUUGAAGCCUCAAAACUGUAAAUGUCAUUAUUAAUAUGGAAGAUUAGAAACGCGCAUUUUGAUAAAUCAUCUACUGGCACAAUAUUUUUUUUUCAAUUCACUGAGCAUAGUUCUACAUAAACAAUGUAACUUAAUAAUCUAGUCUUUGAAAAAGUAUAAGUCUUUCGUACUUGUUUUAUACAAAACGUUUCAUGAUGUUUCAAUGUAAAUGUGCUGUUGCUUUUUUCUGUGGUGUGGAAACUGAGAUUCAGAUAAUGUUUUUCUCAUUGUCAGUAUUUUUUUCCAUGAUUGGGUGGAUUUUCAAAUUACUUGGCAGGGUUAUUAAAUAUUAUAUUUCUAUGUGACACAUGCUAGAUUCAAAUGAUAGUCAAGGUCCCAAUUAAGUAGUCAAAAACUAAACUUUUUCUGUCUUUAACUUUUUAGCUCACCUGAGCACGAAGUGUUCAAAGGUGAGCUUUUGUGAUUCCCCUGUGUCCGUCGUCCGUCUGUCGUCAACAAUUUGACUGUUACCACUCUAGAGGUCACAAUUUUGGGCCAAUCUUAAUGAAACUUGGUCAGAAUUUUACUCUUAAUUAAAUUUUGGACGAGAUUGAUAUUCGGUCAUCAGGGGGUAAAAAACUAGAUCACCAGGUCAAAUCAAAGGAAAAGCUUGUUAACAGUCUAGAGGCCAUAUUUAUGACUAUAUCUUCAUGCAACUUUGUCAGAAUGUUAAUCUUGAUGGUCUUUAGGUUAAUUAUGAAUCUGGGUGAGGUG
Mercenaria mercenaria is the source of this 1398-nucleotide long non-coding RNA. RefSeq lists it as uncharacterized. NCBI's taxonomy places the organism in Eukaryota, Metazoa, Mollusca, Bivalvia, Venerida, Veneridae. The transcript is spliced from 3 exons. The record is from RefSeq and is a predicted model, not a curated record.